GGUGGUUCUCAGGUAAUCACCCUGGAAUCGGGCUCCCUCCUCUCUGGUUCCAGGUGCAUCACCUGAGAACUGCA
This is a non-coding RNA of Myotis davidii, 74 nucleotides long. NCBI's taxonomy places the organism in Eukaryota, Metazoa, Chordata, Mammalia, Chiroptera, Vespertilionidae. The record is from Rfam.